UCCGGUUUGGCACCGGCAGUCCUCCCAGAGUCCCCGCCUUGACGCGCUGGCAACUGGGAGCGGGGGUUGCGCUCGUUGCGGGACUUAACCCGACAUCUCACGACACGAGCUGACGACAGCCAUGCAACACCUGUGUACGCUGGUAUUGCUACCUCGUCAGGCUUUCACCCUUCUACUACGUACAUGUCAAGGCCAGGUAAGGUUCUUCGCGUUGCAUCGAAUUGAGCCACAUACUCCACCGCUUGUGCAGGCCCCCGUCAAUUUCUUUGAGUUUUAAUCUUGCGACCGUACUUCCCAGGCGGCACGUUUAUCGCGUUGGCUACGCCACAAGUGGGUUCGAAUCCACUUACAGCAAACGUGCACCGUUUACAGCUAGGACUACC
Molecule: unclassified non-coding RNA, 383 nt
Filed under: uncultured Verrucomicrobiae bacterium
Lineage: Bacteria; Pseudomonadati; Verrucomicrobiota; Verrucomicrobiia
Description: contains 16S-23S intergenic spacer region
Source: RNAcentral